RNAcentral lists this ribosomal RNA (468 nucleotides) under uncultured bacterium. RNAcentral describes it as "partial 16S ribosomal RNA". It matches the Rfam family "Bacterial small subunit ribosomal RNA", at positions 28 to 507 of the family's 1533-position model. The record is from RNAcentral.
GACGAACGCUGGCGGCGUGCUUAACACAUGCAAGUCGAACGGAAAGGCCCUGCUUUUGUGGGGUGCUCGAGUGGCGAACGGGUGAGUAACACGUGAGUAACCUGCCCUUGACUUUGGGAUAACUUCAGGAAACUGGGGCUAAUACCGGAUAGGAGCUCCUGCUGCAUGGUGGGGGUUGGAAAGUUUCGGCGGUUGGGGAUGGACUCGCGGCUUAUCAGCUUGUUGGUGGGGUAGUGGCUUACCAAGGCUUUGACGGGUAGCCGGCCUGCGAGGGUGACCGGCGACAUUGGGACUGAGGUACGGCCCAGACGCCUACGGGAGGCAGCAGUGGGGAAUAUUGCACAAUGGGCGGAAGCCUGAUGCAGCAGCGCCGCGUGCGGGAUGACGGCCUUCUGGUUGUAAACCGCUGUCGCCUGUGACGAAGCGUGAGUGACGGUAAUGGGUAAAGAAGCACCGGCUAACUACGUG